RNAcentral lists this long non-coding RNA (2029 nucleotides) under Homo sapiens (human). RNAcentral describes it as "non-protein coding lnc-ATP23-6:1". Lineage: Eukaryota; Metazoa; Chordata; Mammalia; Primates; Hominidae. The record is from RNAcentral.
CAUAAAAUAUAAUUAUUUGGGAGCCAAUACGAUGCAGAAAACAAAGGUUAAGUAAGAAAGGACAUUCUGAGCCAGAAUAGUAAUAAGUAGAAGUAGCAAGUCAGUGUAUUUCAGCAAGAAUACAUAUGAUUUUUUUUUAAGGGACAGGCUCUCGCUAUGUUGCUGAAGCUGGACUUGAACUCUGGGCUCAAGCGAGCCUCCUGCUUCAACCUCCUGAGUAGCUGGGACUACAGGCAUGUGCCACUGCACCCAGCUCUUGUAUGGAAUUUUUAUAUGGAAUGUGUAAUACAUAAACUAUUCAAAUCACUGAAUGCUUGUGAGGUAUCCAUUGCACCUGGAAAUUAAACCAGGCUAUCUCUUCAUAUAAAAGUGGAGAAAGCACUAAACAGGCUAAAGAAAAUUACCUCUUUACCCUUGCCUCCUGUUUUCUGUUAGUCUUAUAUGAAGCUUUUAAGGGAUAGUCAACUGCACAAAAGCAACAUCUGCUUGGCAGAUUUCCUUUAGUCCUGGAGCCCACCAUUCCGUUCUAUCUCACUGAACAUGUUUAUUGGAAAGUACGAGCAGAUUCCAGUGGAAGCACAGAUGCAUUUAUUUAACUCGCUGCUUGUUUCUUUGGAACUGCUCUUUUAAAAUGGAGGCAAGAGUUUUGGGGCUGGUUACAAUGAGUGGCAAUGUCCACUUGUGGGAAAUAUUGAAUGAUGGAUAAUGUAACAGCUGCAAUGAGCAUUUGGCAGAAUGGAAAAUGUUCUAGAUUUAGCUCCCUUGCAUGCAUGUCCAGGGAAUGAUUAGCAGGUUGGCACGAUAAGGUCAGUGUCAUUUAUCAGCCAAAACACUCUCCAAGGUCAGAAAGUUAACUUUUGAUUGUCUGUUGUGUUUUUAAAGAUCUGCUGGCACAGGUCUUUGGGUUUUCCUUUUGAAGGUCAUUUUCUGAAUUAAUGGGUUUCUAACUGUGUCUAUGGCUAGGAAAAUGGAUUUCAGGGAAAAUCAAGAAGAUUGUAUUUUUUAAAAAGACAUUUAUUGAUUAGGAAUAUAUAUAAAUUGUUAAGAUACCUUUCUUUUCCCAUAUUGGUAGCAACUAUCAGGUUGCACAUAUAUAAUUGCCAAUAGUUGACAGUUUUUACCUUAAAGAAGGCAAUUUUGUAUGGUCCAACUGAAUAUAUACUAUAUUUCAAUUCAAUCUAAUACUUUAACAAAUAUUAAGUUCCUGCUGAGGUACUAUGUUAAGUGUUGAAGCUACAAGGAUGAACAAAAUAGUCAUGGGUCUUGUCUUCACAAAGCUUACAGUCUAGAAGUGGUGGCAGACAAACCACUGCUUUGAUAGCGGAAGGACAGUUACUGUGUGAAUUCAGAGCGAGGGAAGCUAAUCCAUUUUAGAGUGGUCAAAAGAAUCUUCCCAGAGGAAUGAAAGCUAAGCUGAGCUUGAAGGAUGAGGAAGAGUUAAAUGGAAGAGUAGAACAGGGGCGAAGAGGCUUCUGGCAAUAGGAACAGCAGUGUGAAGACAGGGAGGUAAGAGCAAUAGAGCAGGGGUGUGUGACAUGACGGGAGCUGAGCGACACUCAGAGUGGAGGGAGGCUGUGUAGACAGAUGAUGCUGGGAGGGAAGAAAGGCCCCAUGGUGAAGAGAAGAAUCUGGUAAUUCUGUAAUAAAAUACUUACCUCUCUAUUCUGAAGGCAUCAAGGAACUACUGGACAAGGAGUGACGUGAUCGUGACGGUGUUGUAUAAAAAGGGCCAUGUGGUUGCUGUGUGGAGCAUAGGUUGGAAUCUGGGAAGUCACCUAGGAGGCUGUUCCUGGAAUCCAGGCAAUAAAAGAUGGUGGCCUGUACUGGGGCAGUGAGCAUGGGGAUGAAACAUGGAAGACUCUGUGAGCUGCUUGGGAGGCAAAUUGAUGGGUCUUGGUGAUUCCACGGUCGGUGGGGAGGGGGCAGGAAUGGGUGACAGAGAGAUGGGAAGGAAGAUUGCUCUCUGAAUGUAGAACUGCUUCUGGGUCACUGGAAUUUUCAGUGGCCACAGUGGUUUGACUUCUUAAAU